GACUCUCGGCAAUGGAUAUCUCGGCUCUCGCAUCGAUGAAGAACAUAAUGAAAUGCGAUACUUGGUAUGAAUUGCAGAAUCCCGUGAACCAUUGAGUUUUUGAACGCAAGUUAUGCCUCAAGCCUUCGGGCCAAGGACACGCUUUCCUAGACGUCA
This is a ribosomal RNA of Papaver somniferum (opium poppy), 156 nucleotides long. RefSeq annotates it as 5.8S ribosomal RNA. Lineage: Eukaryota; Viridiplantae; Streptophyta; Magnoliopsida; Ranunculales; Papaveraceae. The record is from RefSeq and is a predicted model, not a curated record. The transcript has a single exon.